RNAcentral lists this ribosomal RNA (148 nucleotides) under uncultured Alphaproteobacteria bacterium. Its description in RNAcentral is "partial 16S ribosomal RNA". It matches the Rfam family "Bacterial small subunit ribosomal RNA", at positions 367 to 535 of the family's 1533-position model. Lineage: Bacteria; Pseudomonadati; Pseudomonadota; Alphaproteobacteria. The record is from RNAcentral.
UGACAUGGUCGCAGCUGAUGCAGCCUGCCGCGUGAGUGAUGACGGCCUUCGGGUUGUAAAGCUCUUUCAUCGGGGACGAUAAUGACGGUACCCGGAGAAUAAGCCCCGGCUAACUUCGUGCCAGCACCCCCGGUAAUAAUAAUAUACC